Molecule: ribosomal RNA, 544 nt
Filed under: uncultured Ascomycota
Lineage: Eukaryota; Fungi; Ascomycota
Description: SSU rRNA
Rfam family: Eukaryotic small subunit ribosomal RNA
Source: RNAcentral
UUGGAGGGCAAGUCUGGUGCCAGCAGCCGCGGUAAUUCCAGCUCCAAUAGCGUAUAUUAAAGUUGUUGAGGUUAAAAAGCUCGUAGUUGAACCUUGGGCCUAGCCGGCCGGUCCGCCUCACCGCGUGCACUGGCUCGGCUGGGCCUUUCCUCCUGGAGAACCGCAUGCCCUUCACUGGGCGUGCUGGGGAACCAGGACUUUUACUCUGAACAAAUUAGAUCGCUUAAAGAAGGCCUAUGCUCGAAUACAUUAGCAUGGAAUAAUAGAAUAGGACGUGUGGUUCUAUUUUGUUGGUUUCUAGGACCGCCGUAAUGAUUAAUAGGGACAGUCGGGGGCAUCAGUAUUCAAUUGUCAGAGGUGAAAUUCUUGGAUUUAUUGAAGACUAACUACUGCGAAAGCAUUUGCCAAGGAUGUUUUCAUUAAUCAGGAACGAAAGUUAGGGGAUCGAAGACGAUCAGAUACCGUCGUAGUCUUAACCAUAAACUAUGCCGAUUAGGGAUCGGACGGUGUUAUUUUUUGACCCGUUCGGCGCCUUACGGGAAAC